UACAGAGGCCACGAGCGUUAGGCGGAAUCACUGGGCUUAAAGCGUGUGUAGGUGGAUGGGUAAGUACCUUGUGAAAUCCCACAGCUCAACUGUGGAAAUGCUUGGUAUACUGCCUGUCUUGAGGCACUCAGGGGCGAGCGGAACAGAUGGUGGAGCGGUGAAAUGCGUAGAUAUCAUCUGGAACGCCAAUGGUGAAGACAGCUCGCUGGGGGUGUACUGACGCUGAGACACGAAAGCUAGGGUAGCAAACGGG
Molecule: ribosomal RNA, 253 nt
Filed under: uncultured bacterium
Lineage: Bacteria
Description: partial 16S ribosomal RNA
Rfam family: Bacterial small subunit ribosomal RNA
Source: RNAcentral